GUUUUUGUACGAUUAUUUUUAAUUUAAAGAUGGUUGUUUUAAAUGCGGUAGUUUUAUAUUUUGGUUGGAGCAGGAUGCUGUGUCAACAUUGUGAACUAAGGAUACUGUCUGCUUGCUUUUAACUUGUGGUGUUUUGAUUUUUUCUCUUAAACUUUAGUUUGUAACAUAAGAUUUUAUAUUUUAUACAUAAUCUAGUUGGAGCUUUGUUGACUAAGAUUUGGC
This 222-nucleotide unclassified non-coding RNA is filed under the name Hevea brasiliensis (rubber tree). Lineage: Eukaryota; Viridiplantae; Streptophyta; Magnoliopsida; Malpighiales; Euphorbiaceae. The record is from RNAcentral.